GGAUGUGAGGGCGCUCUGGCUGCAGCAUGUCACCCCAUUGAUCAUCAGGGUUGAUUCCGCUGAUCUGGCUUGUUAAGGGGGUGUCCCCUUCUUCACUUACCAUACCAUGAGUGUCCCUCCAAAAUGAGAAUGUUUGGUGGAAGAGGAUGACAUUACCUGAUGGAGGUGGAGGACCAUUCUUCAGUCAAGGGUAUAGGAGUAGCUGUUCUCCCCUGCUGGAACCUCUAAACAAGCUCUCAUGGUCAAUUUGUAGGAGAACGUAGGAUAGUCAAGCUUCCAAGACUCCAGACGCGGAUCCAAAGGACGCACUGUUUUUUUUGGCAGUCUGCCUUUCUUU
Mustela putorius furo (domestic ferret) is the source of this 337-nucleotide unclassified non-coding RNA. Its record names the gene 7SK. It matches the Rfam family "7SK RNA". Rfam says of the family: 7SK was discovered as an abundant small nuclear RNA in the mid-70s but a possible function has only recently been suggested. Two independent studies have found that 7SK RNA binds the CDK9/cyclin T complex (known as elongation factor P-TEFb). The record is from Ensembl. Lineage: Eukaryota; Metazoa; Chordata; Mammalia; Carnivora; Mustelidae.